UGGGACACUUAAGACUUUUAUAAGGUCCUUCUCCCUCAGCUGGAGGGAGCACAGCAGUGAGCCAAGGAGACGGGACCCUCUGCUUUGUCCUCCUGCUGUGCUGCUGGCAAGAAGUGAAGACCUGGCCAAUAAGAAUGAAUUCAGGUUCAAGUUCUGGACUGCCGUCAAGUUAGUCAAGUUUUAAAAAUAUGGAUGACGAUAUGACCACAGUAUUUGGGCUCUGCAGGUGAUGCUAAAGUACAGCCGGCUGAGAACUGCUGCCCUGGGCCAGGGCCGUCCAAUAGAAACACAGCAUGAGCCGAAGAUGUGCUUUUCAUUGUCUAGUGGCCACAUUAAAAAGAUGCAGAUGAAA
Molecule: long non-coding RNA, 352 nt
Filed under: Homo sapiens (human)
Lineage: Eukaryota; Metazoa; Chordata; Mammalia; Primates; Hominidae
Description: HSALNT0375260
Source: RNAcentral